This 497-nucleotide ribosomal RNA is filed under the name uncultured bacterium. RNAcentral describes it as "partial 16S ribosomal RNA". It matches the Rfam family "Bacterial small subunit ribosomal RNA", at positions 28 to 507 of the family's 1533-position model. The record is from RNAcentral.
GAUGAACGCUGGCGGCGUGCCUAAUACAUGCAAGUCGAGCGAACAGAUAAGGAGCUUGCUCCUUUGACGUUAGCGGCGGACGGGUGAGUAACACGUGGGUAACCUACCUAUAAGACUGGGAUAACUUCGGGAAACCGGAGCUAAUACCGGAUAAUAUUUCGAACCGCAUGGUUCGAUAGUGAAAGAUGGUUUUGCUAUCACUUAUAGAUGGACCCGCGCCGUAUUAGCUAGUUGGUAAGGUAACGGCUUACCAAGGCGACGAUACGUAGCCGACCUGAGAGGGUGAUCGGCCACACUGGGACUGAGACACGGUCCAGACUCCUACGGGAGGCAGCAGUAGGGAAUCUUCCGCAAUGGGCGAAAGCCUGACGGAGCAACGCCGCGUGAGUGAUGAAGGUCUUCGGAUCGUAAAACUCUGUUAUUAGGGAAGAACAUACGUGUAAGUAACUGUGCACGUCUUGACGGUACCUAAUCAGAAAGCCACGGCUAACUACGUG